This 438-nucleotide ribosomal RNA is filed under the name uncultured bacterium. Its description in RNAcentral is "bacterial SSU rRNA". It matches the Rfam family "Bacterial small subunit ribosomal RNA", at positions 28 to 479 of the family's 1533-position model. The record is from RNAcentral.
GACGAACGCUGGCGGCGCGCCUAACACAUGCAAGUCGAACGAGCGAGAGAGAGCUUGCUUUCUCGAGCGAGUGGCGAACGGGUGAGUAACGCGUGAGGAACCUGCCUCAAAGAGGGGGACAACAGUUGGAAACGACUGCUAAUACCGCAUAAGCCCACGGCUCGGCAUCGAGCAGGGGGAAAAGGAGCAAUCCGCUUUGAGAUGGCCUCGCGUCCGAUUAGCUAGUUGGUGAGGUAAUGGCCCACCAAGGCAACGAUCGGUAGCCGGACUGAGAGGUUGAACGGCCACAUUGGGACUGAGACACGGCCCAGACUCCUACGGGAGGCAGCAGUGGGGAAUAUUGCACAAUGGGGGAAACCCUGAUGCAGCGACGCCGCGUGGAGGAAGAAGGUCUUCGGAUUGUAAACUCCUGUUGUUGGGGAAGAUAAUGACGGUACC